AGACCCUUACCAGGUCUUGACAUUUUCUGCCAGGAUGAGAGAUCAGCUGUUCCCUUCGGGGACAGAAUGACGGGUGGUGCAUGGUUGUCGUCAGCUCGUGUCGUGAGAUGUUGGGUUAAGUCCCGCAACGAGCGCAACCCUUAUGAUCAGUUGCCAGCAUUCAGUUGGGCACUCUGGUCAGACUGCCGGUGACAAACCGGAGGAAGGCGGGGAUGACGUCAAAUCAUCAUGCCCCUUAUGACCUGGGCUACACACGUGCUACAAUGGGUGGUACAACGAGCAGCGAGACCGCGAGGUCAAGCGAAUCUCUAAAAACCAUCCUCAGUUCGGAUUGCAGGCUGCAACUCGCCUACAUGAAGCUGGAAUCGCUAGUAAUCGCGGAUCAGCACGCCGCGGUGAAUACGUUCCCGGGUCUUGUACACACCGCCU
RNAcentral lists this ribosomal RNA (429 nucleotides) under uncultured bacterium. Its description in RNAcentral is "bacterial SSU rRNA". It matches the Rfam family "Bacterial small subunit ribosomal RNA", at positions 965 to 1395 of the family's 1533-position model. The record is from RNAcentral.